GAUGAAGAACGUAGCGAAAUGCGAUACUUGGUGUGAAUUGCAGAAUCCCGUGAACCAUCGAGUCUUUGAACGCAAGUUGCGCCCGAAGCCAUCAGGUUGAGGGCACGUCUGCCUGGGCGUCACUUAUCGUUGCCCAAUGCCUAUUGCAGUGCAAUAGGAAUUUCUAGGGCGAAUGAUGGCUUCCCGUGAGCGUUGCUGCCUCGCGGUUGGUUGAAAAUCGAGUCCUUGGUAGGGUGUGCCAUGGUAGAUGGUGGUCGAGUUAGAACGAUACCGAUCAUGUGCAUGCUCCCCAAAAUAUGGCCUCUAUGACCCACACGCGUCUUUUGACGCUCAUGACGAGACCUCAGGUCAGGCGGGGCUACCCGCUGAAUUUAAGCAUAUCAAUAAGCGGAGGA
This 395-nucleotide unclassified non-coding RNA is filed under the name soil metagenome. RNAcentral's name for it is "partial contains 5.8S ribosomal RNA, internal transcribed spacer 2, and large subunit ribosomal RNA". The stretch from base 1 to 122 matches the Rfam family "5.8S ribosomal RNA", at positions 35 to 154 of the family's 154-position model. The record is from RNAcentral.